GAUGAAGAACGCAGCGAAAUGCGAUAAGUAAUGUGAAUUGCAGAAUUCAGUGAAUCAUCGAAUCUUUGAACGCACAUUGCGCCCGCCAGUAUUCUGGCGGGCAUGCCUGUUCGAGCGUCAUUUCAACCAUCAAGCCCCCCGGCUUGUGUUGGGGACCUGCGGCUGCCGCAGGCCCUGAAAAGCAGUGGCGGGCUCGCUGUCACACCGAGCGUAGUAGCAUACAUCUCGCUCUGGGCGUGCUGCGGGUUCCGGCCGUUAAACCACCUUCAUAACCCAAGGUUGACCUCGGAUCAGGUAGGAAGAUCCGCUGAACUUAAGCAUAUCAAUAAGCGGAGGA
Molecule: unclassified non-coding RNA, 337 nt
Filed under: soil metagenome
Description: partial contains 5.8S ribosomal RNA, internal transcribed spacer 2, and large subunit ribosomal RNA
Rfam family: 5.8S ribosomal RNA (bases 1-120)
Source: RNAcentral